UCCUGGUUUCCCAGGCAGUCCCAUCAGAGUGCCUUCUUACGAAGUAGCAACUGAUAGCAAGGGUUGCGCUCGUUAUAGGACUUAACCCAACAUCUCACGACACGAGCUGACGACAGCCAUGCAGCACCUGUGCAAAUGUCUAGGGUUACCCCUAGAAAACUACAUCUCUGUAGCGGUCAUAUGCAUGUCAAACCUAGGUAAGGUUCCUCGCGUAGUGUCGAAUUAAACCACAUGUUCCACCGCUUGUGCGGACCCCCGUCAAUUCCUUUGAGUUUUAAUCUUGCGACCGUAAUCCCCAGGCGGAUCACUUAACGCGUUAGCUACGACACUAAUCUCGCAAAGCGAGACUAACGUCUAGUGAUCAUCGUUUACGGCGUGGACUAC
RNAcentral lists this unclassified non-coding RNA (384 nucleotides) under uncultured bacterium. RNAcentral's name for it is "contains 16S-23S intergenic spacer region". The record is from RNAcentral.